AAUAAGAUGCCUGAAAAAGGAUUAUUUUGAUGUAAUAAAUUAUGUAACUGUUUACUCUUAUUA
This 63-nucleotide transfer RNA is filed under the name Philaenus spumarius (meadow spittlebug). Its description in RNAcentral is "tRNA-Ile". Lineage: Eukaryota; Metazoa; Arthropoda; Insecta; Hemiptera; Aphrophoridae. The record is from RNAcentral.